Non-coding RNA from Manis javanica (Malayan pangolin), 1266 nucleotides. NCBI's taxonomy places the organism in Eukaryota, Metazoa, Chordata, Mammalia, Pholidota, Manidae. The record is from RefSeq and is a predicted model, not a curated record.
UCCCUCCGCAGCCCGGCCCCGAGCGAGCUCCGUGCGUCCCGGCGGGACCCAGGGCUCUCCGGGUUCAAAGGGCUGCAGCCCGAGGGAAUGCCCUCUUCGCUGUGCCCCAGGGGGCAGAAGCGGACCGCAGGGCGGUGGGAUCGGCCUGGGCCACGGUCUUUGAAGAGUGUGUCAGAAAUGGAGCUCAGCGGUGGGGAUCAGUGGAGAAUGAGCGAGACCACUUUCCUGCCAAGUGGGGCUAACUGAUGCAUACAGAAAGUAAACAGAUCAUGAAAGAUGGCAGUGGAACUUGCGGGGCGGGGAGUAAGUGCCUGAUGAGCGUCCAACUCAGAUUCGGGGAGUUCUCAGAAGUGAUGGCAUCUAAGCAGAGGGCUGAUGGAUGAAUGAGGAUGUUGAGGCAAGGGGAGUGAAAUGAUUUGCCCAAGAUGACCCAGCUUAUGAGAGACAGAGCCAGGGCUGGACCCCACGUGUCUGGCUCCAAGGACUGUGCCCUCCACGAGGUGAGGCCGCAGUGAGGUGAGCUGACCCAGGAAUGCCUGACAGAAAAAUAUCCGUACCUGCGGUAGUCAACUCAAAACAUGUGCGAUGACAGCAGUGCCUCAAUAACGGCUGGACUGCACUCCCUAUGCAUCAGAGGUGGCACCCAGCACUGUCACAUUCUGUGAUCCUAUGGCAACUGGACGAGGACUAAUAGGUGCAACAGUCCUAAAAUCUGGCUGUACCCAUUCCUUUGGAGGACUCCGGCAGACCCACGUGUCCUACGGCUCAACUUUCCACACCUACCCUGUUUGUAAUUCCUAAGCAAGAUUCUGAGCUCGGCUGUCGUAUUUCGGUUUUACAGUUAAUUGAAAAUAUUUUGAUCCCAAAGUGCCCUUAGUAUCAUGUUUUAUUAAUGCAACUGACUCAUAUUAAUGAGUGCCUGCUUUUGAGUCGAGACCUGAAUAAGUUAUCCGGUUUCAUUGUUUAUAUCCUUAGUUAAAAAAAAAAAUUCCAUGCACUCUGACCUCAUGACACCUAAACCCUGCCCAUUUAGUUAAAACAGGAAAACUAGUUAUCUGAUACCGUGAAGGCAAAUCAGCUGGUAGAUGUGCUCACAUGUUUCCAUUUGCACUAGUUGUGGGCCUGGUGGGGAGCCAUAGAUUAUUCAUCAGGAAUGCACAGGAGAGAAUGUCUUUUUUCCAUUUGUUUGUUAAUUUCCAAAAUAAAACCAAUGCAAAGAGCAACAGUUAGAGUGCAUUUGUUUUUCAUUGUGAGCACCUAUCAUUA